Molecule: ribosomal RNA, 1014 nt
Filed under: uncultured fungus
Lineage: Eukaryota; Fungi
Description: eukaryotic LSU rRNA
Rfam family: Eukaryotic large subunit ribosomal RNA (bases 391-1014)
Source: RNAcentral
CUUGAUAUCCACUGUGGAAUUCGCCCUUCUUGGACAUUUAGAGGAAGUAAAAGUCGUAACAAGGUUUCCGUAGGUGAACCUGCGGAAGGAUCAUUAAAGAAUACAAUACACACAUGGAUUCGGGCCAACAACACACCAAAUUUUUUUAUUUUUGACAAACAAACCAAAAGAAAAAAAAAACUCCUAGCAACGGAUCUCUUGGCUCUCGCAUCGAUGAAGAACGCAGCGAAUCGCGAUACGUAUUACGACUUGCAGACGUGAGGCAUCAAUCUUUGAACGCACAUUGCGCCUUGGAGCAUUCUCCAAGGCAUGCCUGGGUGAGCGUCGAUUUUCCUCAGGCCCCCCCCGGCCUGGUUUUGUCGCGCAACUCCACAAUCAAGAUUACCGUCUUGACCUCAUCCAGGUAGGACUACCCGCUGAACUUAAGCAUAUCAAUAAGCGGAGGAAAAGAAACCAACCGGGAUUGCCCCAGUAACGGCGAGUGAAGCGGCAAAAGCUCAAAUUUGUAAUCCUGCGGGAGUUGUAAUUUGAAGGCCGGCAGCGCCGCCAGAACGUCUUUCGAAGUCCAUUGGAACAUGGCGCCAGGGAGGGUGACAGCCCCGUGCGAAAGAAGGUUUUGGUGGAGCUCGUUGCCGACCAAAGAGUCGAGUUGUUUGGGAAUGCAGCUCAAACAGGUGGUAAAUCCCAUCUAAAGCUAAAUACCGGCGAGAGACCGAUAGCGAACAAGUACAGUGAUGGAAAGAUGAAAAGCACUUUGAAAAGAGAGUGAAACAGUACGUGAAAUUGCUGGGAGGGAAGGGCUUGCAAGCAGACACGGGUCAAACCGGGCCAGCAUCAGGUGGCUGGGGCGCCAUACGCGCGCGGGAACGUGGCAGGAGAAACUCUUCUCCUGUGUUAUAGCCCGCGUUGUUCUCGCCCUGCCGCCUGAGGCCAGCGAUUCCAAGGAUGCUGGCGUAAUGGUUGCAAGCCGCCCGUCUUGAAACACUGAUCCAAGGGCGAAUUCCAGCAUUGGGA